RNAcentral lists this transfer RNA (70 nucleotides) under Myzornis pyrrhoura. RNAcentral's name for it is "tRNA-Pro". It matches the Rfam family "tRNA". From Rfam's summary of the family: Transfer RNA (tRNA) molecules are approximately 80 nucleotides in length. Their secondary structure includes four short double-helical elements and three loops (D, anti-codon, and T loops). Further hydrogen bonds mediate the characteristic L-shaped molecular structure. tRNAs have two regions of fundamental functional importance: the anti-codon, which is responsible for specific mRNA codon recognition, and the 3' end, to which the tRNAs corresponding amino acid is attached (by aminoacyl-tRNA synthetases). tRNAs cope with the degeneracy of the genetic code in two manners: having more than one tRNA (with a specific anti-codon) for a particular amino acid; and 'wobble' base-pairing, i.e. permitting non-standard base-pairing at the 3rd anti-codon position. Lineage: Eukaryota; Metazoa; Chordata; Aves; Passeriformes. The record is from RNAcentral.
CAGAGAGUAGUUUAAUUUAGAAUGCCAGCUUUGGGAGUUGGUGAUGGAGGUUUAAUUCCUUCCUCUUUGA